UACGUAGGUGGCGAGCGUUGUCCGGAUUUAUUGGGCGUAAAGCGCGCGCAGGCGGUGCGGUAAGUCUGUCGUGAAAUCUCCCGGCUCAACUGGGAGGGUGCGGUGGAGACUGCCGGACUGGAGGCACUCAGAGGCCGGUGGAAUUCCCGGUGUAGUGGUGAAAUGCGUAGAGAUCGGGAGGAACACCAGUGGCGAAGGCGGCCGGCUGGGGGUGACCUGACGCUGAGGCGCGAAAGCGUGGGGAGCGAACCG
RNAcentral lists this ribosomal RNA (252 nucleotides) under uncultured bacterium. Its description in RNAcentral is "partial 16S ribosomal RNA". It matches the Rfam family "Bacterial small subunit ribosomal RNA", at positions 524 to 775 of the family's 1533-position model. The record is from RNAcentral.